RNAcentral lists this long non-coding RNA (374 nucleotides) under Coturnix japonica (Japanese quail). RNAcentral's name for it is "lncRNA (ENSCJPG00005014228.1)". Lineage: Eukaryota; Metazoa; Chordata; Aves; Galliformes; Phasianidae. The record is from RNAcentral.
AUUAGCCCUCUGUGAUCUUGCUGUGUUUUCAUUUAUUUCAAAACAGUUUAACACAGAGCAUGUUGAGCAAUCAGUUGAAAAUCACGUGCAAACACUGCCUAAGUACCGAUAAGAAUCGUGGAGGUAAACAAUGAAUUCCUACUAAUGGCUAAGUCACCAAGAAAAUGAACUUCUCGCUUGCCUGACCUUAUCUCACCUGCUUCCCAUUUUAUCCUCCUAUGGAUGCAACUUUCCCUGCAGGAGAAAGUAUAAGAGCAGAACAAACUAUGCUGGGAACACAGGCCUUUGCAUUCUGGUGAGUUUCUUCUUUAGAAUCUGCAAACAACUCCCUCUGAUGGAGGUGCUUGAAUUUCUUCAAAGGGUUCAUAGUUCCA